GAAACGAAUCGCUUUACUCCAUAUGGUCUGUAUAUUUUAUCACCAAUUACACACACACGGUGCCCUUGGAGAAAAGGCUGCUCCUGAGAGCACAAGACUGGCUAAAGAACACGGACGACUCUGUACUUCAGUAUUCCACCGCAGGCCUGCAAACAGAAAGAAACUCCGGGAACACUAAAAGAAGUCAUUCAAUGUGCCUUGAAGCCUGACACACACUCCCUCAAGGGAGAUGCUGUGUUCAGAAGAGCUGGUAAGAGGGUGAGGCCAGAAGUGGAGGGACCAGGCAGGUAUUGCAAUGACGCAGGCAAGACCAGGUGAGCAAGCGCACUGUAAGAGAAGUCGGAGGGCUCCGAAGAUGCCCUGGAGGAGAGCCAACAGGAUGUGUUGACAGACCCAACAGAUCUGAGAGGAAGAAAGGCCCAAGAGCAUGCCAAGGAUUCCGGCAGGAGCAAGGGAGGGACGGAGUCACUACGUUCCGAGAAGGGAACGAGCAUGGGAAGAGCACGUUCUGAAGAGAGGGGCGGAAGUCCAGUGUGGACUGCUCCAUUUGAGAUAGCAUCAGACACUCACACGGAGUGAGAUACCCAGUGCAGAGCUGCAAUUCCCUGUCUGGAGUUCUCGGGAACGUUGGCCAAGACGGGAUAGCAAUUGCAUUCCACGCAAAUGGACAAGGCACUGAGCGCAGACAAGAAGAGAUGAGGUUCCAGCCCUGUGACAACCUAACAUUGGACGGCUGGGAGAUGAGGGGCAUCAACAAAGCAGACUGGGAGCGGGCAGUGGGCAGGAGGACAUGCCGGAAUCCAGCGCUCCCAGCAGGAAUCAGCCCUAUCUCUGAUGCUGGCUGACCGAUCACUGAUAGGUGGAUCUGCUGAAAGGCAGGUCAGCGGUGACCGUGAGAACAGCAGUUCUGGCGCAGCGGCAGGGCCGAAAGCCUGACUGGGCUGAGGUCACUAGAGAGCAGGAGGAGAAGCGAAAACUCCUUUGAGGAACUGGGCGGUAGAGGGGGAAGAGAAACAGGGCAGGGGCUGCAGCAGACAUGGGUUUAGAAAGACCUUCUGGAGGACGAGACAGUGUGCGUGCUGACUGGCAGGAAGCCAGGGGAGCGGUGGGACUGACAGAGUAACUCCCCUGAGUAAGGCGAGCAGAUCGGGCCAAGCGGCCAAGUGCAGAGGUGGCCUUUCCUGGGUGCACACAGUUCGCCCACAGUAAGAGGAAGGGCAGCCGAAUACACGGGCACAGAUCCAGGUAAAUAGGUAGACAUGUGGUGAGAGUU
This 1273-nucleotide long non-coding RNA is filed under the name Equus caballus (horse). Its description in RNAcentral is "lncRNA (ENSECAG00000049097.1)". Lineage: Eukaryota; Metazoa; Chordata; Mammalia; Perissodactyla; Equidae. The record is from RNAcentral.